This 164-nucleotide ribosomal RNA is filed under the name Tubeufiaceae sp. RNAcentral's name for it is "partial large subunit ribosomal RNA". It matches the Rfam family "Eukaryotic large subunit ribosomal RNA", at positions 99 to 261 of the family's 3401-position model. The record is from RNAcentral. Lineage: Eukaryota; Fungi; Ascomycota; Dothideomycetes; Tubeufiales; Tubeufiaceae.
CGGCAAUAGCUCAAAUUUGAAAUCUGGCUCUUUCAGAGUCCGAGUUGUAAUUUGUAGAAGAUGCUUCGGCUUACGUAUCGGUCUAAGUUCCUUGGAACAGGACGUCACAGAGGGUGAGAAUCCCGUUUGUGGCCGGUACUUCCGCCAUGUGAAGCUCCUUCGAC